GAAGAGAAAAGUCUCCAUUUUCUUCAGCUGCAUAUCACAAAGGCAGUAGUAACCUUAAUAAUAAUGAUGAAAAGCAAGUCCGUGAAAUCUAAGCUUGCUUAAAUGCGUGAGAAUAUAACAUAGAGAACAAAAACAAAUAUAUUCUCCUCAUAAUUAUCUUUCAACUUUAUGAGAAAAGUUCACAAAAGGGGAGAAUCNNNNNNNNAAUUACUGAAUUACAGAGAGAACAAAUACCUAAUAAAUCUUUAAGCACUGGGAAAUAAGAUAAAAUCAUAACAGAUCUCAAACUCAAUAAUGGACCUCGCAGGGUGGAUGUAGCCAUCUAUUUGUAGAAAUAGAAUUUCCAUAAUAGAUUUCCAAUAAGGGAACUCAAACCAAACAGCACGAUGAAAAUAUUAGCUCUAAAACCAAAAGGCUAUAGUCAAGUAUCUUUUGACUUUUUGUGAAUUUCAGGGUUGUCCUGCUUUGUAACAAUUUUCUUAUUCCUCCCCCCACCCCCCUUUUCUCUCUCCCUUACCCUGUUCAUCAAUAAUUAAUUAAAAACAGAAAUCCCCUACCGACACAUCAAGGCUAAUUGAAGUAGAAAGGGCAAGUGCUCUUUUCUAGCUGCAUCUCAGAAAGCAAUAUAUUACGAGUCCCAUAACUGAUAAAUACAAA
Molecule: unclassified non-coding RNA, 657 nt
Filed under: Hevea brasiliensis (rubber tree)
Lineage: Eukaryota; Viridiplantae; Streptophyta; Magnoliopsida; Malpighiales; Euphorbiaceae
Source: RNAcentral